This 542-nucleotide ribosomal RNA is filed under the name uncultured Bacteroidota bacterium. RNAcentral describes it as "bacterial SSU rRNA". It matches the Rfam family "Bacterial small subunit ribosomal RNA", at positions 355 to 897 of the family's 1533-position model. The record is from RNAcentral. Lineage: Bacteria; Pseudomonadati; Bacteroidota.
UAAGGAAUAUUGGACAAUGGGCGCAAGCCUGAUCCAGCCAUGCCGCGUGAAGGAUGACGGCCCUCUGGGUUGUAAACUUCUUUUAUACGGGAAUAAACCCCUGGUUUCUACCGGGGCUGAAUGUACCGUAAGAAUAAGGAUCGGCUAACUUCGUGCCAGCAGCCGCGGUAAUACGAAGGAUCCAAGCGUUAUCCGGAUUUAUUGGGUUUAAAGGGUGCGUAGGCGGACUAUUAAGUCAGUGGUGAAAGCCUGCAGCUUAACUGCAGAAUUGCCAUUGAUACUGAUGGUCUUGAGUACAUUUGAGGUGGGCGGAAUGUGUCAUGUAGUGGUGAAAUACUUAGAUAUGACACAGAACUCCGAUUGCGAAGGCAGCUCACUAAACUGUAACUGACGCUGAGGCACGAAAGCGUGGGGAUCAAACAGGAUUAGAUACCCUGGUAGUCCACGCCCUAAACGAUGAUUACUCGAUGUGUGCGAUACACUGUACGCGUCUGAGCGAAAGCAUUAAGUAAUCCACCUGGGGAGUACGGCCGCAAGGCUGA